UGUCUUUUAGAAAUUUAAUUUAAAGUCUAGCCUGCCCACUGAAUUUUUUUUAAAUGGCCGCAGUAUCCUAACUGUGCAAAGGUAGCAUAAUCAUUAGUCUUUUAAUUGAAGGCUGGAAUGAAUGGUUGGAUGAAAUAUUAACUGUUUCAUAAAAAUUUAUAAUAGAAUUUUAUUUUUUAGUCAAAAAGCUAAAAUAUUUUUAAAAGACGAGAAGACCCUAUAAAUCUUUAUAUUUAGAAAAUUACAAUUAUUUAGAUAACUUUAAUUUUACUUUUUUUAAAUAUUUUAUUGGGGUGAUAUUAAAAUUUAAUAAACUUUUAAUUUAUUUUAAACAUAAAUUAAUGAAUUAUUGAUCCAUAAAUUAUGAUUAAAAAAUUAAGUUACUUUAGGGAUAACAGCGUAAUUUUUUUAGAGAGUUCAUAUUGAUAAAAAAGAUUGCGACCUCGAUGUUGGAUUAAGAUACAGUUUUAGGUGCAGCAGCUUAAACUUAAAGUCUGUUCGACUUUUAAAUUCUUACAUGAUCUGAGUUC
RNAcentral lists this ribosomal RNA (530 nucleotides) under Myriophora porrecta. Its description in RNAcentral is "partial 16S ribosomal RNA". The stretch from base 391 to 530 matches the Rfam family "Bacterial large subunit ribosomal RNA", at positions 2473 to 2612 of the family's 2925-position model. The record is from RNAcentral. Lineage: Eukaryota; Metazoa; Arthropoda; Insecta; Diptera; Phoridae.